Molecule: long non-coding RNA, 1979 nt
Organism: Aethina tumida (small hive beetle)
Lineage: Eukaryota; Metazoa; Arthropoda; Insecta; Coleoptera; Nitidulidae
Exons: 2
Source: RefSeq, a predicted model, not a curated record
AUUUUCUGCUGUGUUUCUUAGAUAUUUCUGUUGUAUUUGUUGUGUAAAUGCGUGGGUGUUUUAUCUUAUCUUUCGUAUGACUGAUUUGUGUGACUUUAACUCAGAAUUUUAAUGUAUCCCGUCUACAAUUCGGGUAAGAUUUACUUUUAUUAUUAACAAAUUUAAAAUCACAUGCCAAAAUUAUACCAAAUUAUUCUAUUAGAUAAGAAACGCAAACUUCUAAUUAAAUAUAAUCAAAAUUAUAUUAUUAUAUAUAUGUUAGCUUACGUCAUCACCUUCACCGAUGGACCGAUGCGACGUGCUCACAUCUAUUUAGACUAGUUUUGUUUUAUAAGCAAAUCUGAAGUAUUUGUUUACAUUUAAUAUUCGGGGCAGUUCUUAAGAAAGAACCAGGCAGUCAAGCUUUAGAUGUCGAGGGUUAAAGUACGUUUGUUGUAAUAAAGCGUAUUAUUGUGAAUUUAGUGUUUUAAUCAAACUAAAAAGACAGAUUAACAGUCGCUAAUCUAUCAUCAGAAGUGGGAUAAAGGAUAUCUUCUCGUGAAUUAUUUCCGGAAGAAAGGACCUAAAAAAAAUAUUUUUUUUUUUUUUUUGUGUUUCUUUGUGAACGAACAAACAAUAGUGAAAAACACAAACGCGCAGUGAGUCCGAACGUUGUGAACAUUACCGAAAGUGCAUCGGAGAGAGACUAGCAGCAAGAAAGUAACAACAGAUUCCAAAAACAAAACAUGGAAAUUUUAUCGACAAUGGCCAACGCCCAAACUACUCAAGCAACAUUGAAGAUGACUGCGCAGAAGGUUUAAGUGUGGCUGCAGCGCAGUUUCGACUUGUAAGAUUUAGAAAUUGCAUUUGAGGAAUAUGAUUUGAAUUUGUCAGGAAUGGACGAGUGGGUUACGAAAGAAAUAAAAGAACAACCGAAUGCCGUUUGAUCUCAUAAACUCUUCAUCAAAUUAUCAGAGCGCCAUCGUUAAAGCCCUUGGACCACUUAAAGACGAUAUUACGUUUGUUUAUGUUGAUGAUGUGUUGUGCCCUGCUCGACCCAUUCAAGAAUGUCUUAAGAACUUAAGAAAGGACAUUGACGCCCUUAAAUAUGCAAAAAUACAUCUUGUGAAAAACUUUACAACUUUAACAGCACCGAUAUCUGCAUUGUUACGUGAGGGAAAAUCUUUUGAAUGGACAUGUAAAUGUGAAAAUGUACGAUUGACUUCUUAUCCGAUUUUCAACAUUUUUGAUCUGGAAUUGUCAACCGAACUACAUACAGAAGCAAGUUCGUUAGGAUUAGAUGUCGCUAUUAGCUGUCGAAUAGAGGAAAGUUGAAACCAAAGUAUCACGGACCCUUUGAGGUAACGCAUUGUUUACCUAAUGAGAGGUACGCACUCCGAAGGAUUGGCAGCCGAGGUAGAACUACAAUAGCAGCGCAUGAACAGUUACGAACCUGGCCAGAUACAGAAAUUCUAUAAGGUAUGAUGGAUAUAGAUUUAUUUAAUAAGAUUGUGAAUGUGUGUAAAGGUCCCUGCUUAGUAGGCUGUUUAAGGUCCCUGUGUAUCAGGCUAUAUGUGAAGGUCCCUGCUUAGUAGGCUAUGAUUAAGGUCCCUGCUCGGCAGGCUAUUUUUAAGGUCCCUGCGUCGCAGGCUAUGUUUGAGGUCCCUACUUUGCAGGCUAUGUUUAAGGUCCCUACUUUGCAGGCUAUGUUUAAAGGUCCCUGCUCGGCAGGCUAUUUUUAAGGUCCCUGCUCUGCAGGCUUAGAUUGUUGUGUUCUGGGUCUGUGAGACAAGCGGGUAAUAGACCUGGUAGUGGUUGAACCGCCUCUGAGCUCCUGGCUAGAAUAUGGUAUCUUUUGAUAGCACUUGAGAGACAUGGGUGUAACAGACCUGUUGAUGGUUGAGCCGCCUCUGUGCUUCUAGUGGUUGUUAACUGUGCCACAUAACAGUCUAUUUUGUUAAAUGAAAUAAGGUUUAGACUUAGUUCUUCGAAUAUAUUUU